GUAGGUGAACCUGCGGAAGGAUCAUUAUUGAAUAAAUCUGACUUGGUUGUAGCUGGCUUCCUCGGAAGCAUGUGCACGCCGGUCACCUUUAUCUAUCCACCUGUGCACCCUUUGUAGUCCUGGAUACCUCUCGCUGAAAGGCGGAUGCGGAGUCUGCCGUGCCUUCGAAGGAAGGCCGGCUUACUCUGAAUUUCCAGGUCUAUGAUCUUUAUACACCCCAAACGAAUGUUAUAGAAUGUAAUCAAUGGGACUUUGUUCCUAUAAAACUUAUACAACUUUCAGCAACGGAUCUCUUGGCUCUC
Molecule: unclassified non-coding RNA, 302 nt
Filed under: rhizosphere metagenome
Description: partial ribosomal RNA internal transcribed spacer region
Source: RNAcentral